This 460-nucleotide ribosomal RNA is filed under the name uncultured bacterium. RNAcentral describes it as "partial 16S ribosomal RNA". It matches the Rfam family "Bacterial small subunit ribosomal RNA", at positions 338 to 795 of the family's 1533-position model. The record is from RNAcentral.
CCUACGGGUGGCAGCAGUGAGGAAUAUUGGUCAAUGGACGAGAGUCUGAACCAGCCAAGUAGCGUGAAGGAUGACUGCCCUAUGGGUUGUAAACUUCUUUUAUAUGGGAAUAAAAUGUUCCACGUGUGGGUUUUUGUAUGUACCAUAUGAAUAGGGAUCGGCUAACUCCGUGCCAGCAGCCGCGGUAAUACGGAGGAUCCGAGCGUUAUCCGGAUUUAUUGGGUUUAAAGGGUGCGUAGGGGGAUUGUUAAGUCAGUUGUGAAAGUUUGCGGCUCAACCGUAGAAUUGCAGUUGAAACUGGCAGUCUUGAGUACAGGAGAGGUGGGCGGAAUUCGUGGUGUAGCGGUGAAAUGCAUAGAUAUCACGCAGAACUCCGAUUGCGAAGGCAGCAUACCGGCGCUCAACUGACGCUCAUGCACGAAAGUGUGGGUAUCGAACAGGAUUAGAUACCCGAGUAGUC